Molecule: ribosomal RNA, 396 nt
Filed under: Testudo hermanni
Lineage: Eukaryota; Metazoa; Chordata; Testudines; Testudinidae
Description: partial 12S ribosomal RNA
Rfam family: Bacterial small subunit ribosomal RNA
Source: RNAcentral
GCUUAGCCAUAAACCCAGAUAUUUAACAUACAAAAAUAUCCGCCAGAGAACUACGAGCAAAACGCUUAAAACUCUAAGGACUUGGCGGUACCUUAAACCCCCCUAGAGGAGCCUGUUCUAUAAUCGAUAAUCCACGAUCUACCUCACCAUCUCUUGCCAAUACCGCCUAUAUACCGCCGUCACCAGCCUACCCUAUGAAGGAUAUAAAAGUAGGCAAAAUCGCACAACAGCUAACAAGUCAGGUCAAGGUGUAGCUUACUGAGAUGGAACAAAUGGGCUACAUUUUCUAAACUAGAAAUCAUUUCACGGAAAGAACUAUGAAACAAGUUCUAUAAGCAGGAUUUAGCAGUAAAUAGGGAUCACAAUGCCCAAUUUAAGCCGGUCCUAAGGUGACGC